This 434-nucleotide ribosomal RNA is filed under the name Thomasclavelia ramosa. Its description in RNAcentral is "bacterial SSU rRNA". It matches the Rfam family "Bacterial small subunit ribosomal RNA", at positions 1071 to 1506 of the family's 1533-position model. Lineage: Bacteria; Bacillati; Bacillota; Erysipelotrichia; Erysipelotrichales; Coprobacillaceae. The record is from RNAcentral.
GAUGUUGGGUUAAGUCCCGCAACGAGCGCAACCCUUAUCGUUAGUUACCAUCAUUAAGUUGGGGACUCUAGCGAGACUGCCAGUGACAAGCUGGAGGAAGGCGGGGAUGACGUCAAAUCAUCAUGCCCCUUAUGACCUGGGCUACACACGUGCUACAAUGGAUGGUGCAGAGGGAAGCGAAGCCGCGAGGUGAAGCAAAACCCAUAAAACCAUUCUCAGUUCGGAUUGUAGUCUGCAACUCGACUACAUGAAGUUGGAAUCGCUAGUAAUCGCGAAUCAGCAUGUCGCGGUGAAUACGUUCUCGGGCCUUGUACACACCGCCCGUCACACCACGAGAGUUGAUAACACCCGAAGCCGGUGGCCUAACCGCAAGGAAGGAGCUGUCUAAGGUGGGAUUGAUGAUUGGGGUGAAGUCGUAACAAGGUAUCCCUACG